Molecule: ribosomal RNA, 253 nt
Filed under: uncultured bacterium
Lineage: Bacteria
Description: partial 16S ribosomal RNA
Rfam family: Bacterial small subunit ribosomal RNA
Source: RNAcentral
UACGGGGGGGGCAAGCGUUGUUCGGAAUUACUGGGCGUAAAGGGCGCGUAGGCGGCCAACUAAGUCCGACGUGAAAUCCCCAGGCUUAACCUGGGAACUGCGUCGGAUACUGGAUGGCUUGAAUUCGGGAGAGGGAUGCAGAAUUCCAGGUGUAGCGGUGAAAUGCGUAGAUAUCUGGAGGAAUACCAGUGGCGAAGGCGGCAUCCUGGACCGGUAUUGACGCUGAGGCGCGAAAGCUAGGGUAGCAAACGGG